GAAUCAUUCACAAUGGGGGAAACCCUGAUGGUGCGACGCCGCGUGGGGGAUAAGGUCUUCGGAUUGUAAACCCCUGUCAUGUGGGACAUUAAAAAGAUAGUACCACAAGAGGAAGAGACGGCUAACUCUGUGCCAGCAGCCGCGGUAAUACAGAGGUCUCAAGCGUUGUUCGGAAUCACUGGGCGUAAAGCGUGCGUAGGCUGUUUCGUAAGUCGUGUGUGAAAGGCGCGGGCUCAACCCGCGGACGGCACAUGAUACUGCGAGACUAGAGUAAUGGAGGGGGAACCGGAAUUCUCGGUGUAGCAGUGAAAUGCGUAGAUAUCGAGAGGAA
This 331-nucleotide ribosomal RNA is filed under the name uncultured bacterium. RNAcentral describes it as "bacterial SSU rRNA". It matches the Rfam family "Bacterial small subunit ribosomal RNA", at positions 359 to 706 of the family's 1533-position model. The record is from RNAcentral.